AACAGUUUAUGAGCAAGUGUUUUGAAAUUCUGCUUUAAAUAAGCCGGUAAAUGAAUUCAACCUUGUCAGAUCUCUCUCCCUCACGCAGACCAAAUAUCCCGCUGGCGUGCUGUCUAGACACAGAUAACAAAGGACUUUUUACGGCGCCCAGAGACGCGCUGACAAAGUCGCCAUUUAAAGAUGCAGUGUUGCUUUCUCCGUCGAAACCAUUUGUCAGAUGGACUUCAAUGGAAACGCUAAGUUAACGGUUGCGCAGAAGAGGACUGUUUGACUGUCCGCGGCCCACUGGCAAACGAUUCUCGAUCUUCUUGUUUGAAGGAGCCGGCUGCUGAAAUGUGUCUAACACCCAGGCUGGGCAGAUUCUGUGCGCCUGAAGGGGUGGCAGAAAGGACUCAUCUUUAAUAACUGCUUUUAAGAGGCUGCUUCUAAUCUCUGCUCCUCCCAAAGUGAACAGCCCACGGGCUCCGCCGUCUGUGGGCAGAACCCCUGGUUUCACCCAGACACACGGAUGUGAAGGUUCUGGAAGACACCCACUGCUGUGGGGGAUACGACGCUGGGGUUUAGAACAGUGCUCUCUCUGGUCAAGGGUUCAACUGGAGCAAUGGGAAAUGGGAGCCCAUGGUCUCCUGUGCCUGGGGCAGGGCCAGCGCUUGGUCAGCACUGCUAACAGCUGGACUCCAAGGCUACUGGCGAUGCGACUUGGCCUGGUGACCUACCCAGGACUAGAGAGAACCCAGAUGCUUCCUGCACUUGUGAGUUCCUCCUAAGCACACCUGCUGCCAGUCUCAUCCCGCAACCACAGCAGACAUUACUAAUCAAUGACUGCACUUCCCCCCACCCCCCGGCCACUGCCCCCCACCAGCCCAGCUCAGGCCUCGGGGAGAUUCCUGUCCCCAGAGUCCCAGGAAGUUAAGUGAAGCAUUUUUUUCU
Long non-coding RNA from Dama dama (fallow deer), 930 nucleotides. RefSeq lists it as uncharacterized. The transcript is spliced from 3 exons. Lineage: Eukaryota; Metazoa; Chordata; Mammalia; Artiodactyla; Cervidae. The record is from RefSeq and is a predicted model, not a curated record.